AGCGGAUUACCGCGUUCGCUUUUAUCCUCUCUGCCUCGUGGCGGCCCUUUCACGGCGAAAACACGGGUUCGAUUCCCGUAGGGCGCGCCA
Molecule: transfer RNA, 90 nt
Filed under: Methylobacterium brachiatum
Lineage: Bacteria; Pseudomonadati; Pseudomonadota; Alphaproteobacteria; Hyphomicrobiales; Methylobacteriaceae
Description: tRNA-Glu
Source: RNAcentral